Molecule: ribosomal RNA, 253 nt
Filed under: uncultured bacterium
Lineage: Bacteria
Description: partial 16S ribosomal RNA
Rfam family: Bacterial small subunit ribosomal RNA
Source: RNAcentral
UACGGAGGGGGCUAGCGUUGUUCGGAAUUACUGGGCGUAAAGCGUACGUAGGCGGUCUUUUAAGUCAGAGGUGAAAGCCCGGGGCUCAACUCCGGAAUUGCCUUUGAAACUGGGAGACUUGAACAUGGGAGAGGUGAGUGGAAUUCCGAGUGUAGAGGUGAAAUUCGUAGAUAUUCGGAGGAACACCAGUGGCGAAGGCGGCUCACUGGACCAUUGUUGACGCUGAGGUACGAAAGCGUGGGGAGCAAACAGG